AUUGAACGCUGGCGGUAUGCCUAACACAUGCAAGUCGAACGAGGGUAGCAAUACUCUAGUGGCGGACGGGUGAGGAAUACGUAGGAAUUUGCCCUUAAGUGGGGGAUAACCCGGGGAAACCCGGAUUAAUACCGCAUGAUCUUUUCGAAGCAAAGCCGGGGACCGCAAGGCCUGGCGCUUUUGGAGAAGCCUACGUCGGAUUAGCUAGUUGGUGAGGUAAUGGCUCACCAAGGCUGCGAUCCGUAACUGGUCUGAGAGGAUGAUCAGUCACAUCGGAACUGAGACACGGUCCGAACUCCUACGGGAGGCAGCAGUGGGGAAUAUUGGACAAUGGGCGAAAGCCUGAUCCAGCAAUACCGCGUGUGUGAAGAAGGCCUUCGGGUUGUAAAGCACUUUAGGUCGGAAAGAAAAAACUUGAGUUAAUACCUUAAGUCUUGACGGUACCGACAGAAUAAGCACCGGCUAACUCUGUGCCAGCAGCCGCGGUAAUACAGAGGGUGCAGGCGUUAAUCGGAUUUACUGGGCGUAAAGCGUGCGUAGGUGGCUGUUUAAGUCGGAUGUGAAAGUCCUGGGCUUAACCUGGGAACUGCAUUCGAUACUGGAUAGCUAGAGAUCGGUAGAGGGCAGCGGAAUUCCGGGUGUAGCGGUGAAAUGCGUAGAUAUCCGGAGGAACACCGAUGGCGAAGGCAACUGCCUGGGCCUGAUCUGACACUGAGGCACGAAAGCGUGGGUAGCAAACAGG
RNAcentral lists this ribosomal RNA (742 nucleotides) under uncultured Pseudomonadota bacterium. RNAcentral's name for it is "bacterial SSU rRNA". It matches the Rfam family "Bacterial small subunit ribosomal RNA", at positions 28 to 776 of the family's 1533-position model. The record is from RNAcentral. Lineage: Bacteria; Pseudomonadati; Pseudomonadota.